CUGUACUCUGUGGGAAGGUUAGGUUAGUUAGGACUCAGCCUGUACUCUGUGUGAAGGUUAGUUAGGACUCAGCCUGUACUCUGUGGGAAGGUUAGUUAGGACUCAGCCUGUACUCUGUGGGAAGGUUAGUUAGGACUCAGCCUGUACUCUG
Long non-coding RNA from Oncorhynchus keta (chum salmon), 151 nucleotides. RefSeq lists it as uncharacterized. The record is from RefSeq and is a predicted model, not a curated record. NCBI's taxonomy places the organism in Eukaryota, Metazoa, Chordata, Actinopteri, Salmoniformes, Salmonidae. The transcript has 3 exons.